RNAcentral lists this ribosomal RNA (741 nucleotides) under uncultured Candidatus Poseidoniales archaeon. RNAcentral's name for it is "bacterial SSU rRNA". It matches the Rfam family "Archaeal small subunit ribosomal RNA", at positions 102 to 857 of the family's 1478-position model. Lineage: Archaea; Methanobacteriati; Thermoplasmatota; Candidatus Poseidoniia; Candidatus Poseidoniales. The record is from RNAcentral.
GGAUAACCUGCCCUAUUGUCUGGAAUAACCUCGGGAAACUGAGAACAAGGCCGGAUAACCCACAAUGCCUGGAACGGUUUGUGGGUGAAGAUAGGAUGGGUCUGCGGCGUAUCAGGUCGUAGGGGGUGUAAUGGACCUCCUAGCCAUCGACGCGUACGGGUGUUGGGAGACAUAGCCCGGAGAUGGAUUCUGAGACACGAAUCCAGACCCUACGGGGUGCAGCAGGCGCGAAAACUUCACACUGCAGGAAACUGUGAUGAGGGAACUCCAAGUGCAUCCACUAUGUGGAUGCUUUUUUUGACUAUUAAUCGGUCAACGAAUAAGGGCUGGGAAAGACCGGUGCCAGCCGCCGCGGUAAUACCGGCAGCUCAAGUGGUCGUCGCUUUUAUUGGGCCUAAAACGUCCGUAGCCUGUUUGGUAAAUCUGUGGGUAAAUCAACCAGCUUAACUGAUUGAAUUCUGCAGAGACUGCCAGACUAGGGACCGGGAGAGGUGUGGGGUACUCUAGGGGUAGGGGUAAAAUCCUGUCAUCCUUAGAGGACCACCAGUUGCGAAGGCGCCACACUGGAACGGAUCCGACGGUCAGGGACGAAGCCUAGGGGCACGAACCGGAUUAGAUACCCGGGUAGUCCUAGGUGUAAACGCUGUGAACUUGGUGUCGGGGAUCCGCAAUGGGUCCUCGGUGCCGGAGUGAAGAUGUUAAGUUCACUGCCUGGGGAGUACGGUCGCAAGACUGAAACUU